ACCCGAUGCAAACUGCGAAUACCGGAGAAUGUUAUCACGGGAGACACACGGCGGGUGCUAACGUCCGUCGUGAAGAGGGAAACAACCCAGACCGCCAGCUAAGGUCCCAAAGUCAUGGUUAAGUGGGAAACGAUGUGGGAAGGCCCAGACAGCCAGGAUGUUGGCUUAGAAGCAGCCAUCAUUUAAAGAAAGCGUAAUAGCUCACUGGUCGAGUCGGCCUGCGCGGAAGAUGUAACGGGGCUAAACCAUGCACCGAAGCUGCGGCAGCGACGCUUAUGCGUUGUUGGGUAGGGGAGCGUUCUGUAAGCCUGCGAAGGUGUGCUGUGAGGCAUGCUGGAGGUAUCAGAAGUGCGAAUGCUGACAUAAGUAACGAUAAAGCGGGUGAAAAGCCCGCUCGCCGGAAGACCAAGGGUUCCUGUCCAACGUUAAUCGGGGCAGGGUGAGUCGACCCCUAAGGCGAGGCCGAAAGGCGUAGUCGAUGGGAAACAGGUUAAUAUUCCUGUACUUGGUGUUACUGCGAAGGGGGGACGGAGAAGGCUAUGUUGGCCGGGCGACGGUUGUCCCGGUUUAAGCGUGUAGGCUGGUUUUCCAGGCAAAUCCGGAAAAUCAAGGCUGAGGCGUGAUGACGAGGCACUACGGUGCUGAAGCAACAAAUGCCCUGCUUCCAGGAAAAGCCUCUAAGCAUCAGGUAACAUCAAAUCGUACCCCAAACCGACACAGGUGGUCAGGUAGAGAAUACCAAGGCGCUUGAGAGAACUCGGGUGAAGGAACUAGGCAAAAUGGUGCCGUAACUUCGGGAGAAGGCACGCUGAUAUGUAGGUGAAGUCCCUUGCGGAUGGAGCUGAAAUCAGUCGAAGAUACCAGCUGGCUGCAACUGUUUAUUAAAAACACAGCACUGUGCAAACACGAAAGUGGACGUAUACGGUGUGACGCCUGCCCGGUGCCGGAAGGUUAAUUGAUGGGGUCAGCGCAAGCGAAGCUCUUGAUCGAAGCCCCGGUAAACGGCGGCCGUAACUAUAACGGUCCUAAGGUAGCGAAAUUCCUUGUCGGGUAAGUUCCGACCUGCACGAAUGGCGUAAUGAUGGCCAGGCUGUCUCCACCCGAGACUCAGUGAAAUUGAACUCGCUGUGAAGAUGCAGUGUACCCGCGGCAAGACGGAAAGACCCCGUGAACCUUUACUAUAGCUUGACACUGAACAUUGAGCCUUGAUGUGUAGGAUAGGUGGGAGGCUUUGAAGUGUGGACGCCAGUCUGCAUGGAGCCGGCCUUGAAAUACCACCCUUUAAUGUUUGAUGUUCUAACGUGGACCCGUGAUCCGGGUUGCGGACAGUGUCUGGUGGGUAGUUUGACUGGGGCGGUCUCCUCCUAAAGAGUAACGGAGGAGCACGAAGGUUGGCUAAUCCUGGUCGGACAUCAGGAGGUUAGUGCAAUGGCAUAAGCCAGCUUGACUGCGAGCGUGACGGCGCGAGCAGGUGCGAAAGCAGGUCAUAGUGAUCCGGUGGUUCUGAAUGGAAGGGCCAUCGCUCA
RNAcentral lists this ribosomal RNA (1526 nucleotides) under Shigella sonnei. RNAcentral describes it as "partial 23S ribosomal RNA". It matches the Rfam family "Bacterial large subunit ribosomal RNA", at positions 942 to 2451 of the family's 2925-position model. The record is from RNAcentral. Lineage: Bacteria; Pseudomonadati; Pseudomonadota; Gammaproteobacteria; Enterobacterales; Enterobacteriaceae.